UCUCGAUCGCUUUGCCUUUUCACGUAUUUGUUUGCCUAUGCCGUGUGAAUUUCGCGUAAAAAGGGGUGUCGAAAGUGCCAAAUCUAAUUGCGAGCGAUCGUCCGAAUGUAUUAAAUAUGGUAUUAUUUACCACCGUAUUAUUUACUCACGAUACGAUCGUGAGCGCGCCUCUCGGUAAUCAUAACCUAUAUAUCGCGUCCAUCGAAGGGAUCUAUUCUCUGAUACACGCGUGUUUCGCGUGUACUCGCUUGUCCGUAUAUGUCCCAAGUACCCUCCCGAAACAUGGAGGAGCAUUGAGAGAGGCAUCAAUGGAACGUCGCGUCGCAUUAAUCGAAACAGAUGAUUGCACUUGAUUGUGUGAUAUCCGUGUAACGGUUCGUGUCCAUCAUUCCUGUGCCGAUGGUGCGUAGCUUCUCUAAUUUUCACGUCGGUCAAAUGCGUGUACACAUGGCAAACAACGAGUGCCGAAUGUAUCUACCGGGCGAUCGUUUUAGUGCGUCAAUUAAUCUGUUCGAUCGGGCAAUCGAAUGCGUUCGUCGAUAUUCGCUAGCGAUAUCGAUCGCAUCCCGUCGCAUUCAUGUAUUUGGCGAUACGUGUCGCAUUAUUCCGUGAACUUCGUAUUAUUCGCAAGUGUGAUCGAGCAUCGGGAGUGUAUCCGUGAAUCCGCGUCGAUGAACAUCCAGAUGCAUCGAGCAAUCGCUUCGUGACAGAUUAAUCGAGAGGGAGGGCUGCUCUGACGCUUUGUACAUUUGGUAAUGGAUGAUGGCGGCGGGAGAUACGACGAAACAGAAAGCGGCGGAUUCGGCGUGGGCGUAAUUGGCGUCGCGAGGAGGAAAACGACAGGUCGGAAGUAUCUCCACGGUUGCGCACGGAAGGUAGUCACGUCGCUGUUUAUACACGUGCGGUUGCAGUCACAACAGUUGUUAGGUUGCGCCAAUCGCCAAGCAUUAUUCUGCGAUCGGUUCGAUCUCGGAUGUCGAUAAAUGUGCAAAUAUCAAUAAACGGUAAGAGCCAACAAUAGCAUUUUGAAAGGAGCGGCUUGGAGAACGAAUCGACUUAGGCAGAUUCCAACAAUUGAACAAGAAAUACCAUACAAUCUUGAGUUCUGCCGAAGGUAGGUGGGAGAAAACGUACUUGGAUGCUGAGCACGUAUUGACAACCUGGUCACCGACGCGCUCAAUGGCAACCCCAAAUAGAAAGAAAGGUGAAAGACGUUUUCUUCCUCCGCUCUCUCCCCUAUCCCGUUCCCAAUCCUCUUGCCGACGCCCGCGCUCUUGCACAGGAACACUUUUACAACGGUCAGCGCUCUCUGAUGUUCGAACAAAUCUCCGCCGACGACUUCUCGCAUGCAGUCCAAUUUAACUAAAUCCUUUCCGCUUUUCCUCGCCGAUGGAGAGGCCCGGACGAGGGUAGGUUGGGGGGAGGCGAGUGGGGGUAUCCAUACGUGAAGAUAAGAUUGGAAAAGUUGUAUGAGGGGCAACUUUAACGGCUAUAUAACCAUUACAGUGCCGAUAAAGUGGAAUCUAGUGUCUUAACGGUCCGGAACGAAAUUCCGGAUAUAGCGUCGUAUAUUCCAAUGGAGUUAAACACGUUCAGAUACUGGUCGUCUGCCCGCCGUUGUGAGAAGUGUACGCGCUGGUUUAUUGAUCAAUCGAUCUGAGAAAUGGUCAGGGUAACUUCCACCUAUCUAUCCUACUUUACACGCGCUUAUGAAUCCGUCCAUAAACAGGGAUAACGGACUUGGUUCUCUAGUGGAUCAAGAAAUUUUACAGAUACGAUUGCAUUUCACAUGGCAAUUCGCGUCUCUCGUGUCGAUAAAGAUUGUAAUCCGUAAACUGUUUGUUAUAUUUGCUACAUACAUACUUUAUUUAUAGUGUUGUAAUAUUAUACGAUAAAAAUUACACACCUUUCCCUUUGAUCACAAAUAAAUUUUACAAUAAAUUUUCAAUCGCAUCAUCUCGAACGUAUUAUAUUUAUUAUGAAACAUUAAAUUUACGUACGAUAAAUGUGGGGUUCCUUACGGCAAUAUAUUUAUAUGUGCGGAAAACAGAUUGAUAACAUAUGUUAUACCAGAGACAAGAAGCAGUAAUUUUAAAUUACAACGCGAAUGUUGUUGAUGUAAAUAUAAGGAUCGCUGGUAGACGAUAAUACAUAUUUGUGCUGCAGGCUACGUUUGCCAUAACUCACCCACGGGACUGACAGCUUGCAUAAUACCCGCGAAAUUGGUUUUAUAAGACGACGCCAAGCACUGCUUCACAACAAUGCCAUAAACGCUCCGGGUAAAUUACGACUCAGUGGCGUAACAACGUCGGCGGAAAGAAUAUCGAAAAACUAUGCGUAUUUUUUCAAAAAAUUUUAUUUAUUUAUA
Molecule: long non-coding RNA, 2368 nt
Organism: Cataglyphis hispanica
Lineage: Eukaryota; Metazoa; Arthropoda; Insecta; Hymenoptera; Formicidae
Exons: 3
Source: RefSeq, a predicted model, not a curated record